This 433-nucleotide ribosomal RNA is filed under the name uncultured bacterium. RNAcentral's name for it is "partial 16S ribosomal RNA". It matches the Rfam family "Bacterial small subunit ribosomal RNA", at positions 29 to 507 of the family's 1533-position model. The record is from RNAcentral.
AACGAACGCUGGCGGCAUGCCUAACACAUGCCAGUCGAACGAGACCUCCGGGUCUAGUGGCGCACGGGUGCGUAACGCGUGGGAACCUGCCCUUAGGCUCGGAAUAACACUCCGAAAGGGGUGCUAAUACCGGAUAAUGUCCUCGGAUCAAAGAUUUAUCGCCUUUGGAUGGGCCCGCGUUGGAUUAGCCUGUUGGUAGGGUAAAAGCCUACCAAGGCGACGCUCGAUAGCUGGUCUGAGAGGAUGAUCAGCCACACUGGGACUGAGACACGGCCCAGACUCCUACGGGAGGCAGCAGUGGGGAAUAUUGGACAAUGGGCGAAAGCCUGAUCCAGCAAUGCCGCGUGAGUGAUGAAGGCCUUAGGGUUGUAAAGCUCUUUUACCCGGGAUGAUAAUGACAGUACCGGGAGAAUAAGCUCCGGCUAACUCCGUG